UUAGCGGCGGACGGGUGAGUAACACGUGGGUAACCUGGCCUGUAAGACUGGGAUAACUCCGGGAAACCGGAGCUAAUACCGGAUAGUUCCUUGAACCGCAUGGUUCAAGGAUGAAAGACGGUUUCGGCUGUCACUUACAGAUGGACCCGCGGCGCAUUAGCUAGUUGGUGGGGUAAUGGCUCACCAAGGCGACGAUGCGUAGCCGACCUGAGAGGGUGAUCGGCCACACUGGGACUGAGACACGGCCCAGACUCCUACGGGAGGCAGCAGUAGGGAAUCUUCUUUAAU
Molecule: ribosomal RNA, 288 nt
Filed under: Bacillus pumilus
Lineage: Bacteria; Bacillati; Bacillota; Bacilli; Caryophanales; Bacillaceae
Description: partial 16S ribosomal RNA
Rfam family: Bacterial small subunit ribosomal RNA
Source: RNAcentral